GAUUCAAUUUGGUUAUACAAGGAAAGCAAGAGCAAUGUAAACCAUAUUCCACUAGUAGAAAUCCCCUGAAGGAGUGUAGACAAUCAAAACACCUUAAAAAAAAUUUAGAAUAUAGCAUAUUUAGCAAGUAGCUUGAAAUCAAUAGGAGAUACUGAUAAUGUCAUUUAUUGGUGUGUCUAUUUUUUUCAUGAGAGACUGGAUUAUCAUCUUUGGUAUGCCAUGGAAAAAGCUGUGUUACUUCUAACAGGUCCAC
Molecule: long non-coding RNA, 253 nt
Filed under: Citrus sinensis (sweet orange)
Lineage: Eukaryota; Viridiplantae; Streptophyta; Magnoliopsida; Sapindales; Rutaceae
Description: long non-coding RNA (CSIN_LNC005616)
Source: RNAcentral